ACUGACUAGCUAAGUAACAUAACUCAUUUCUGUAUUUUUUAAAGGUGUGUUUCAACCCUAAAGGCAAUUGCAUACUAACAGCCAGUUCUGAUAAAACAGCUCGGCUCUGGGAUGCUGCUACUGGACACUGCCUUCAGAUAUUAGAGGGUCAUGCUGAUGAGAUCUUCUCCUGUGCUUUUAACUACAAAGGUGACACAAUCAUUACAGGGAGCAAGGAUAACUCCUGUAGAAUCUGGCACUGACUGAAGAAAAGGAAGGAUCCAGUUUGAUGUAUUCCUGCCUACUUUGUGAGUUUCAGACUCAAUAAACUCAGCCUUUCAGAUUGGUU
This is a non-coding RNA of Cyanistes caeruleus (blue tit), 328 nucleotides long. NCBI's taxonomy places the organism in Eukaryota, Metazoa, Chordata, Aves, Passeriformes, Paridae. The record is from RefSeq and is a predicted model, not a curated record.